This is a long non-coding RNA of Armigeres subalbatus, 569 nucleotides long. RefSeq lists it as uncharacterized. NCBI's taxonomy places the organism in Eukaryota, Metazoa, Arthropoda, Insecta, Diptera, Culicidae. The record is from RefSeq and is a predicted model, not a curated record. The transcript is spliced from 4 exons.
UAACUAUUCAGUUGCGCUCAAUUCUACCAUGGGCACAAAAGUACAAGAUAAUAGUAAAAUAAACUAAAAAUAUCAUCGCAACUGUUUCAUAGCAGAGUAACCACAAACUGUGACACCGUUAGCAGUCAGUUUUAGAAUCGAUGGAAAACUGUAAAUCCGCUCAUUUGUUUUUAACAAAUUAGUGCAAUUUAAUUAUUAUUUUUGUAUUUAGAGAUGUAAAUCAUACAAAUCUAACCCUCUAAUUUAUCAUUCAACGGGUAACUUGUAUAGACGGCAACCGCAACAUCGAAUAGGAAAUUUAAUUUUUCAUAAAGGUUUUCAACACCAUUAAACAGGAUUCAGCUGAAGCAGCAAUAAACAAAGUUGGAACGGAAAAUGUGUCAUACGUCCCUGCAAUCCAUCGUGCAAUAUUGGAGGAGUUUCAUCAUAAAAUUUGCCCCUUCGAUGGAAAAUCACAUCCAAAAGCAACAUCUCCAAACUUAAGAAUUCGUGAGCGCCUGCCGGCAAUUGUAGCGGUGUCAAGCGAUAAUUAUGUCUCGCAACACAUGCCUAUUCUAAUAAAGUUUGAU